Molecule: ribosomal RNA, 274 nt
Filed under: uncultured bacterium
Lineage: Bacteria
Description: partial 16S ribosomal RNA
Rfam family: Bacterial small subunit ribosomal RNA
Source: RNAcentral
AUACGGAGGGUGCAAGCGUUGUUCGGAAUUACUGGGCGUAAAGCGCGUGUAGGCGGCUUGGAAAGUCGGAUGUGAAAGCCCGAGGCUCAACCUCGGAACUGCAUUCGAAACAUCCAGGCUAGAGUCCUGGAGAGGAUGGUGGAAUUCCCAGUGUAGAGGUGAAAUUCGUAGAUAUUGGGAGGAACACCAGUGGCGAAGGCGGCCAUCUGGACAGUGACUGACGCUGAGACGCGAAAGCGUGGGGAGCAAACAGGAUUAGAAACCCCGGUAGUCC